GCCUUCCCCAGCCAUGCUGAAUUCCUUUUCAGAUUAAUGCCAAGAAAAUAUAUGCAGAAGAGACACCCAUGUCAUUGAACAAGAGGUUCUAAUAUUACAUAACAGGGUAGUGGUAUGUAGCUGUAGUGGUAUGUGCUCUCUCUCAAUGCUGAGCUGCAGCUCCCAGUCAGCCACUGGAUCAUGAGGGUAAAAUACGGAUACUUGACAUCUUCUUAAAGAACAUCAUGCCUGCUAAGCCAUCCAGUUUGGAUGCCCCAGUGCCUUCCACCAGCCAUUCUCAAGCCUCAUUAGAAGAGAGAGAUUGAUGACCCUGUAGCUGCAGCAUCCCAUCAUCCUGCAUUUUAGUUCAAUGCUUCAAACGUUCUUCAGGCCCAGUGUGCUUUCAGCUGUGUAUGUUAAUGGUCCCACCUCCAACGU
This 417-nucleotide long non-coding RNA is filed under the name Homo sapiens (human). RNAcentral's name for it is "HSALNT0158530". Lineage: Eukaryota; Metazoa; Chordata; Mammalia; Primates; Hominidae. The record is from RNAcentral.